GAUAAUUGUCCUUGGAGUGAGUGGUACUCUGCUGAAGACCCAUUAAGAGGGUUUGAGCUGCUUACAGUAUGGUCAGAGAAAGCGAUAGAGAGUUCACUUGAAAUGGCUGAGAUGGAAAAUGUGUCACCUCUUGAGGCUGAGAAGUGGUUAAUAACUCCAUGUUUUUCUGAGAUUCUAAGUGAUGGUUCUGGCAGAAAGAGAAUUGGAUUCGCAUCACAGUUGCUGCUCUUAAUUGACGCUUUUCAUAUGUCACUGGAUGCUAAAUUUGUGGAAGAUUUUAUUUCAGUAGAGAACUCAGGACCUGAGAAUUUGAAGUCUAC
Molecule: unclassified non-coding RNA, 320 nt
Filed under: Hevea brasiliensis (rubber tree)
Lineage: Eukaryota; Viridiplantae; Streptophyta; Magnoliopsida; Malpighiales; Euphorbiaceae
Source: RNAcentral